ACGGGGUGCAGCAGGCGCGAAAACUUCGCAAUGCGGGAAACCGUGACGAGGGAAUCCCGAGUGCUCAUACAAUGUAUGGGCUUUUCUGAUGUGUAAAAAGUAUUAGGAAUAAGGGCUGGGUAAGACCGGUGCCAGCCGCCGCGGUAAUACCGGCAGCUCUAGUGGUAGCCACUUUUAUUGGGCCUAAAGCGUCCGUAGCCGGUCAGGUAAAUCCUUGGGUAAAUCGUACAGCUUAACUGUGCGGCUUCCGGGGAGACUGCUUGACUUGGGACCGGGAGAGGUUGGAGGUACUCCUGGGGUAGGGGUGAAAUCCUGUAAUCCUAGGUGGACCACCGGUGGCGAAGGCGUCCAACCAGAACGGCUCCGACGGUGAGGGACGAAGGCUAGGGGCGCAAACCGGAUUAGAUACCCGGGUAGUCCUAGCUGUAAACGCUGCAGACUUGGUGUUGGAGAUCCUGCGAGGGUGUCCAGUGCCGGAGAGAAGUUGUUAAGUUUGCCGCCUGGAAGUAUGCCGCAAGGC
Molecule: ribosomal RNA, 520 nt
Filed under: uncultured archaeon
Lineage: Archaea
Description: bacterial SSU rRNA
Rfam family: Archaeal small subunit ribosomal RNA
Source: RNAcentral